This 253-nucleotide ribosomal RNA is filed under the name uncultured bacterium. RNAcentral's name for it is "partial 16S ribosomal RNA". It matches the Rfam family "Bacterial small subunit ribosomal RNA", at positions 524 to 776 of the family's 1533-position model. The record is from RNAcentral.
UACGUAGGGUGCGAGCGUUAAUCGGAAUUACUGGGCGUAAAGCGUGCGCAGGCGGUUUUGUAAGCCAGAUGUGAAAGCCCCGGGCUCAACCUGGGAAUUGCAUUCGAGACUGCGUAGCUAGGGUGCGGAAGAGGGAAGCGGAAUUUCCGGUGUAGCGGUGAAAUGCGUAGAUAUCGGAAGGAACACCAGUGGCGAAAGCGGCUUCCUGGUCCAGCACCGACGUUCAGGCACGAAAGCGUGGGGAGCAAACAGG